UGAUCCUAUAUAAUUAUCUACGAACAGACUAAUUCUCUAGCUCUAAAGCAAUUUUCUUUGAAAUUGUCUAGUCUGUGAUAAAGAUUUGACAUAAUUGAUUAAACAGGAGAAACAAAAACAGAGGAUAACUAAGGAAGAUUAUACUGACGUCGGCCUGAAGUUUCUCCUGAUAGAAGGCCAUGUCACCGAUUCGAAGUCACCAGCACGCAUCCCCGAAGGCUCUACAACAUCUCCAUCUUCGCUGAAUAUGGAAGAACAAAUAGAAGCCCCAUCGAGUAAUAGAACCACGAGUGUUCCUGUAAUUGCCAACAAGACAUGGACGAAACAUGGAAUUAGCAGCAGGGAGACGAGUGAUGACAUUGCGAUUCCAAAUCACCACGCCCAGGCAGGGUCUCUUGCUAUUUAUAGUAUACCCGAGCCGCCUGUCAAGACAAAAGAACCUUCAAAAUACUGGGAUCCAACGGUGUUUUACUGCACCAUGCUCAUCGUAUCCUGGACAAUUGUUACCGUCUGUUUGGUGAGGAACUGCCUAUGCCCUGCUCUGAAAGAGGACUGGAAAAAUUUCUGUGUUUGCUGCUAAAUAACAUCAGCAGCAGACCCAGGAUUUUUGACAAGGGGUGGGAGUCUGAAUUCUCUAACAAGGCACCUGCCCCGUCCCCCAUUUUUUGUUGGGGGGGGGGGUCUCAAAUUUUUGCUGGGGCACAAUUUGUUCGGGGUACCAUGAAUGGGAAUACUGUGAUCUAUCAUAAAGAGGAUUCAUCAGGAAGGUGGAGAAGAAGAAGAAGAAGAAGAAGAAGAAGAAGAAGAAGAAGA
Long non-coding RNA from Strongylocentrotus purpuratus (purple sea urchin), 813 nucleotides. RefSeq lists it as uncharacterized. The transcript is spliced from 3 exons. The record is from RefSeq and is a predicted model, not a curated record. NCBI's taxonomy places the organism in Eukaryota, Metazoa, Echinodermata, Echinoidea, Camarodonta, Strongylocentrotidae.